CGCACCGCUUCCUAUCCGCCUCCCGGGUUCUGAGCCCACCCGCCCUUUCCCGCCCCGGCGUCCCUCUCCCCGCCCCCAGGACCCUGGCUGGAAGGGAAGAUUCUCACUCUUUCCUCUCCUGGAUCCCAGAACUUGUCCUGAGCACCCUUUCCACGCUUAGCUUCCUUGUCUGCUGUCCGGUUUUUGCCUCCGUGUUCUCAAGCCGCUCUGCAGAUCAGAAUACCGGGCAUUUUUAUAAGCAUGCGGGCCUCUCACUGUUGUGGCCUCUCCCGUUGUGGAGCACAGGCUCUGGACGCGCAGGUUCAGCGGCCACGGCUCACCGGCCCAGCCACUCCGCAGCAUGUGGGAUCUUCCCAGACCGGGGCACGAACCCGCGUCCCCUGCCUCGGCAGGCGGACUCUCAACCACUGCGCCACCAGGGAAGCCCUGUAAUGAAUCUUUUACUUUGGACAGAAAUGAAGAGAGAGACCUACUUACCUGCUGGCUGGGGGCAGCCCUGAUGAAGCUACUCUGCGAUGAUCCCGCAGUGGUUCUUGCCCAGCUUCCCACCAGCCGCCCCGCUUCUGGCAUCUACCCUCUCCAUUCCCUUCAUCCCAUGCUUGGCUGGCAUCUUGAACAAUCUAAAUCAUAGGUCCUGCCUAAUUCAAUGUUCUAUUGCUCUCUCUGCCUGCCGAGUUCACCACCCCUCCCCCGUGUGUCAACGGAGAUGUCCCUGGACAUGUCCGCAUUUUUCUCUCCGUCCUUCAGUCACUGGGUUACUCACUGCCUUCCCUUGAGUAGACCCUCACAUCUUCACCUCUGAACCUUUGGCCAAGCUGUUUUCUCCUUCCAGAAAUCCCUCCUACACCCCCUUCUCUGGAGUUGUCACUCAUCUGGGGAAAACACUGAUUUAAUCUAGAAAGGACCUGCCUGAGAACAAAGCUAGUGUGGAGCAGACUGAUCUGGGAGAGGCUGAGAGCUGAGAUGUCACCAGAUUGGUCACCCCCAUUUCAGCUCUUCCACUGUCCCUGAAAUGAGGCACAUGGGUAUGAUUUUCACUGUCAGUGAACGGGGAGUGGAAGUGAUUUGUGUCCCUUCCAGAUGGGGACUUUAACAGCCAGCCUGUAAUUCACCUCCUGUCCUGAUCAUUCUUAGCCCAGCCACACUGACGACUCCAGAUGGUAGAAACUCCAUCCCCUGGGCCCUGGAAGGAGGAAACUCAGAGCAGAGUCCCCAGCUGACCAAAGUGGACGUGUGACCAGGAGAAGAAAUAAACCCUGUUGCCACGUGCCACUAGCAUUCUGAGGGUGUUUGUCACUGCAGCCCAACACAGCCCAUCCUGACUGGGUCACCAUCUUCCAAGGCUAUGGCAAAUGUCAGCUCCUCCAGUAAACCUCUCUUGUUCUUCUCCAACUAGUUUCACUUUUUUAAAAAAAUUCAAUACGUAGUUGGUCUAGCAUUUAAAAUCCAUCAGGCACUAUGUGAAGUGCUAGCAAGAAAGAGAUGAAAACGGCAUGAUUCUAUAAUUGGAAUUGUUACAAAUGUUGUUAAGAACGCAGAGUCUUAGGGCUUCCCUGGUGGCGCAGUGGUUGAGAGUCUGCCUGCCGAUGCAGGGGGUGCGGGUUCGCGCCCUGGUCCGGGAGGAUCCCACAUGCCACGGAGCGGCUGGGCCCGUGAGCCAUGGCCGCUGAGCCUGCACGUCUGGAGCCUGUGCUCCGCAACGGGAGAGGCCACAGCAGUGAGAGGCCUGUGUACCGCAAAAACAAACAAACAAACAAACAAAAAAAACCAACAACACAGAGUCUUAGAAGACUAUAUAACCCGAGAUCUCACCUACUCUCAAGGUUUCAGAAAAAUCCUCCUGAAAAAGGGGUAUUUGAAGCGGGCAGCCAUUGGACUAGGAACAGAUAAGCAUGCUCUUACCACCUUCUGCCCCCAGAGCAUUGUGCGUUUUCCUUUCUUGUCAUUGGUUAGAACUCAUUAGUGUAUAGGUGGCAUAAACAUAAUUUCAAAUGGCUUAAGCAAUAAAAGGGGGACAUACUUAUGGGCUCAUGUAGCAAUAAUAGCCAGAGGAGUGUUAGCUUCAGGCAUGGCUGGAUCCAGGGUCUGGUGUCACUAGAUCUCUGUCUCUCUAGCUCUCAGGAUCUCCCAGAUCAGUUUUACUCCAUGUUGGCUUUGUUCUCAGAUGGGUCCUUUCUCGAGUAAAUCAGAAGGCUGUCAGUUAAGUUUAGGUCAGUUCGUUAGAGAACUAAGCUCUGAGGAGGACAGAACCCUGGGAAACUUCCCCUAUUUUCUCUGAGAGGUCAUGGGGGCUUUGAAGAGCCUGCGUGUAUGUUUGGCAGCCACUCAUCCUGAAGCUGCUGACCCUUCACUCUCCACCCACCUUCCUGGCUUGACCGCCUGUCUCCACCACCACCUCCAACUGCACUUUCCAGCCUAACCUGCCUGCCUGCCCGGCCCAGCCGUUCUGGCCCCUUCAUCCUCUCUGCUUUGCUUGUACCUCUGUAGGCAGAGCUCCCUGCAAAAAGGAGCAGCAGCUUCUCUGUCUUGGGACCACACUACUUUGCACAGGGCAGGCAAAACUUAAAUAAUAUUUGCUAAUUGAACAGAAGGAAGGAGGGAAGGAGGAAGAAGAUUUGAACUUAUGUACAGACAGUCGACGUAAAACUACUGUAACCAAGCAGGACACUGUGGGGCCUUCCCAGGGCAGACACCUGCCACCCUCGUCCUCCACCUGCCUCUUGUCUGUAGGAAAACUUUAGCCAAAGAAUAAAUUUAAUCAGAGAAACAAGAAAAAGCAAAGGAAAGCAAUCAAACAAGACCCAAUAGUAAUAGUUUACCCAUUAAACAAAGUCAAGGACUUUUAGUUCCUCCUCAAGGGCUAUAGAUAAUAUUCUGAGCCAUAUCCUUUGAGCUGUUUCGCAGAUACUGAAACCCCCGCCAGGUGGAAGAAGUUAACCAUAUGCUGCCCACAAGCACGUAGACCCACACAGGUCGGAACCAGAAGUUUGAUGAUGCCAACUCCCGAUUACCUCCCCACCAACCCAUCAGAAGAAUGUCCCCAAGCUGAUCACAUACCCCUACAGCCUCUCCUUAGCAUGUAGCCCUUUUACUCUUUUCCCUGUAUAAUCUCUGAGCAAAACCUGGGAAGCGGGGAGUUGGUUUUAGGGGGACAUGGGUCCACCUUCUCCCCAGAAUUGCAGGCUUCCUCAAUAAAGCAAUCUUUUCUUUUACUCAA
Molecule: long non-coding RNA, 3217 nt
Organism: Mesoplodon densirostris (Blainville's beaked whale)
Lineage: Eukaryota; Metazoa; Chordata; Mammalia; Artiodactyla; Ziphiidae
Exons: 3
Source: RefSeq, a predicted model, not a curated record